This 541-nucleotide ribosomal RNA is filed under the name uncultured Bacteroides sp. Its description in RNAcentral is "bacterial SSU rRNA". It matches the Rfam family "Bacterial small subunit ribosomal RNA", at positions 173 to 715 of the family's 1533-position model. The record is from RNAcentral. Lineage: Bacteria; Pseudomonadati; Bacteroidota; Bacteroidia; Bacteroidales; Bacteroidaceae.
AUCAUGAGUUCACAUGUCCGCAUGAUUAAAGGUAUUUUCCGGUAGACGAUGGGGAUGCGUUCCAUUAGAUAGUAGGCGGGGUAACGGCCCACCUAGUCAACGAUGGAUAGGGGUUCUGAGAGGAAGGUCCCCCACAUUGGAACUGAGACACGGUCCAAACUCCUACGGGAGGCAGCAGUGAGGAAUAUUGGUCAAUGGGCGAUGGCCUGAACCAGCCAAGUAGCGUGAAGGAUGACUGCCCUAUGGGUUGUAAACUUCUUUUAUAAAGGAAUAAAGUCGGGUAUGCAUACCCGUUUGCACGUACUUUAUGAAUAAGGAUCGGCUAACUCCGUGCCAGCAGCCGCGGUAAUACGGAGGAUCCGAGCGUUAUCCGGAUUUAUUGGGUUUAAAGGGAGCGUAGAUGGAUGUUUAAGUCAGUUGUGAAAGUUUGCGGCUCAACCGUAAAAAUGCAGUUGAUACUGGAUGUCUUGAGUGCAGUUGAGGCAGGCGGAAUUCGUGGUGUAGCGGUGAAAUGCUUAGAUAUCACGAAGAACUCCGAUUG